This is a long non-coding RNA of Mus musculus (house mouse), 538 nucleotides long. RefSeq annotates it as predicted gene, 53963. The record is from RefSeq and is a predicted model, not a curated record. The transcript is spliced from 2 exons. Lineage: Eukaryota; Metazoa; Chordata; Mammalia; Rodentia; Muridae.
AAGUGUGAAUGCCCUCAGUCGCAUGGUGAGGGAUGAGGCUGGCUGGCGGGAUUGAAAAACUAAAUCCAAUUGCUGCUUAAAGACUCUCAGAUGGGGGAUCAGAGGAUGGAAGACAACCAAGCAAGUGAAGAGAAGCCAAAAACAGCUGGCACACUCAUUCGGAUAAGCCAACUUCAAAACAAAACGGAAUCCAUACCUUGGAAGGAACACGAUGAGAUUUUUCAUGCAAAACUGCUUUCUACAUGGUGAAGGGCCAUGUGCAUAAAAUAAUAAAGAAGCAAAGACUCCUAGCUGGCCUCAUAAAAAAGUAUAGCAUUUCAUAGCUGGCGCACACCGUUUUGUACUCUAUGUAAAAGAAUUUUCUAAAUGGCAGUCUUUCGUUUAAAGGCUUGUAUCGUUUCCCCAGCUAAAACUCUUUUGCUGACUGCGUAGAAAAAAGAUUGGAUCCUUUACACAUAGACACAUGUACAACAGAGUCAAAAUUUGACCUGCUAAGACUCAUAUGUGCAAGGGGAAUAAAACAUUAUUUUAUCUGUGA